Molecule: ribosomal RNA, 253 nt
Filed under: uncultured bacterium
Lineage: Bacteria
Description: partial 16S ribosomal RNA
Rfam family: Bacterial small subunit ribosomal RNA
Source: RNAcentral
CACGUAGGGCGCAAGCGUUGUCCGGAAUUAUUGGGCGUAAAGAGCUCGUAGGCGGUCUGUUGCGUCCGCUGUGAAAACUCGGGGCUUAACCCCGAGCCUGCAGUGGAUACGGGCAGACUAGAGGUAGGUAGGGGAGAAUGGAAUUCCCGGUGGAGCGGUGAAAUGCGUAGAGAUCGGAAAGAACACCAACGGCGAAAGCACUCUGCUGGGCCGACACUGACACUGAGAGACGAAAGCUAGGGGAGCGAAUGGG